Molecule: long non-coding RNA, 1106 nt
Filed under: Equus caballus (horse)
Lineage: Eukaryota; Metazoa; Chordata; Mammalia; Perissodactyla; Equidae
Description: lncRNA (ENSECAG00000046871.1)
Source: RNAcentral
UUCUGACUCCAAUUCCUGCCUCGUGCCUUCCUGCAACUCCAGCUCUCAGGUGAGAUGGGUCAGCUCAGACCUGAGGAGGGAAUGACGGCUGCUUGAGAUGAUGGAGAUGUUGGAUUCAGAGCAGCUGCUUGGGAAGCAGGCAGUUGUUGUGAGCAAGAAGGCUCAGUGCUUCAAGGCCGUUACUCUCAGCCCAGGAAUAACAUUCUACGGGACACAGUUUAAUUGCUUCAAGAUUCAAUUCAUAACCCUUUUUCCUGCAUCCCGUCAUUAUUAGGCCAUUAGUUUUUUGUCCCUUUUAUUACAUUCCAACAGAUCCAGGCAAAUAUUUGCAAAUAUUUUUAGAGAUGAAGCUCCAUGUGACUCUUCACUCGAGUGCUGAGUGACUACUAUCAUAGGCUACAACCAGUAAGCAGUGAAGCCUAGACAAAGAUCUGGAUACGAAGGAUACUACCCUGAGAAAAUUUUCCUCAGCACAUAUUGACUAUAUUUUGAAGGAAAAGGGGCAUAAUAUAACCUUUGAGUCCUGAGAAGAGCAAUUGCAAUCAAUGGACUUAAUGUCUUAAAUGGCUUUUAUUAUCAUCAUUGGUGGUAUAUAGAAAGAGGUUAAUAAAGCCUCUUUCACAGCUGGAACUUAAAUUAAUCCUGUUCAGCAGCAUUCUCUCUCUGUGCUCACUAAUCAGCUCAUGCAGCUGGUGGCUGACAUUCAUCUCUUCCUAAUUAGAGGAGCACGUGCUGCAGAGCCAUCAUUCUGAAUCAGAGCAAUGGUGUUUACUCUGUUUCCCUCACCCUUCCUGCUUCAUUCACCGUUAAGCAACCCAUGACAAUGACACAGCUUGUCACACAGAGUAUGAGGAGAUGGAAUCACAACAUUUGGAGGUAGAUUGCUUGGAUUUGAGUCUAGGCCUUCAACUAGCUGUGUGACCUCGGGCACGUUACCUAAUCUCUCUGAGCCUCGGAUUCUCCAUCCGUAAACAGUCAUUCCAGUUGCUUCAUAAGUUCUGAUGAUUAAAUGAGAUAAUACAUGGAAAAGCACUACGCAAAUAUCUUUUUACAAUUUUUAAUUGUUGAAAAUUUCAAACCUAUUCUAAGGUUGAGAGAAGACAGUU